Molecule: transfer RNA, 92 nt
Filed under: Promicromonospora citrea
Lineage: Bacteria; Bacillati; Actinomycetota; Actinomycetes; Micrococcales; Promicromonosporaceae
Description: tRNA-Ala
Source: RNAcentral
GCCGGCGGGGCGCCGGACGCGGGUGCGGCGUUGCCCGCGUCGGCGGGCGGCCUGCGGCCGUCGACGCCCGGGAUCCCGCCCGGCCCCGGCAC